Molecule: ribosomal RNA, 483 nt
Filed under: Cryptococcus sp. EXF-3875
Lineage: Eukaryota; Fungi; Basidiomycota; Tremellomycetes; Tremellales; Cryptococcaceae
Description: eukaryotic LSU rRNA
Rfam family: Eukaryotic large subunit ribosomal RNA
Source: RNAcentral
AAUCUAUAGAGGCGUUUUCCGCGCCGGACCGCGUCCAAGUCUCUUGGAAUAGAGUAUCAAAGAGGGUGACAAUCCCGUACUUGACGCGACAACCGGUGCUCUGUGAUACGUUCUCAACGAGUCGAGUUGUUUGGGAAUGCAGCUCUAAAUGGGUGGUAAAUUCCAUCUAAGGCUAAAUAUUGGCGAGAGACCGAUAGCGAACAAGUACCGUGAGGGAAAGAUGAAAAGCACUUUGGAAAGAGAGUUAAACAGCACGUGAAAUUGUUAAAAGGGAAACGAUUGAAGUCAGUCGUGUGAAAGGUAUUCAGCCGUCUCUGGCGGUGUAUUUGCCUUUCACGGGUCAACAUCAGUUUAGUCCGGUAGAAAAAGGCUGGAGGAAGGUGGCACCCUCGGGUGUGUUAUAGCCUCCUGUCACAUGUGCCGGAUUAGACUGAGGAACGCAGCUUGCGGAAGGAUCAUUAAUAAUGCCCUCUGGCUUCGGUC